Astatotilapia calliptera (eastern happy) is the source of this 1826-nucleotide long non-coding RNA. NCBI's taxonomy places the organism in Eukaryota, Metazoa, Chordata, Actinopteri, Cichliformes, Cichlidae. The record is from Ensembl.
UAUAUAAAAAAAACAAUAUAAUCAACACCAAGUGAACUACAGCAUCAUCAAGAAACCUCAGCAUUACUUUUCAUACUGCAGUGUUUUGAAGGGUUUUUUUUUAUUCGGGCUCCACCCAAGUUAUUUACACUGCCCAUGGUCCCCUGGUAUCUUGCAUAGAUAAUAUCAAUUAUGCGCUGCUCAUUAUUGCUGCCAAAUUUUAACACUGAGAUCACCACCUAAAGGGAACCAAUAACAUAACGAUAGAUGGUCUGUUUAGAGGAGGAUCUUAAAUCAAGAAAUUUUAAUAUUAAUUUUUGAUUCUGUUUGUGUCCUCCAUCGUUGUUAAUGUGGACAUAUUUUCUUUAUUUAUAACCCAACAGAGGGCAACUUCUUCAGAUUCCAGUGAUAUAAAACGUGGUUAAACAAUAAUUGUGCAUGACUAGAAGGUCUAGGUAUGUAUACAUAUUUAAAAUGCAUGUAUAAAUUGAUUUUAAUAAAAGCUUUCAAUAAAGUGUAAUUGAUUAUUGAUUUUUUUUUUUUUACAGUGUGUGUGUUUUUUGUUGUUUUUCCUUCUUUUCUUUCUUUUUUUGUUCAUUUUUGGAAAAUGACCUUUCUGGUUACCAUCAUAACAUCACUUGGUGUUGCACCUAUAGAAAACAACCACAAAGAAAUGUUCCAUUCAGCAGGCCAAUCACAACUUACAUUUCCUUUAAUGGAAAAAUGUGCAUAGGUCAUGACAUCUGUUAAUAGGAAGUGUUGUUGUCUUCUAACUCCAGGUUAUCGUCAUUAGACAUGGACGGGGUGCAUGCAUUUCUGGUUGUUCUUUUAGGAGCUUUAUCUUCGAGUCAAGAUCUGAGAAAUGAAUCAGUGAUAGAGAUGAGAGUGAGACCAGGAGAAAACAUCACUCUCUACUGUGAUUGUAAAUCAUCAGUUGGAGUAUACAUAGUGUGGUACAGGAAUUGUUCUCAUGAGAAGCAGCCUUCCCUGGUAUUAAAAACCAGGCUGGAUCGGAGAUAUGGUGCCCCACACUCAGAUUAUGAGUCUACUUUCUUCCAUCUCCUGAAUCCAUUUCCUGAUUUUCAUCUGGUAAAGAACAAUUUCUCUCAAUCUUAUGACCUGCUGAUCACAAACAUCACUGAGACUGAUGAAGGCCUUUACUACUGCGGAACUGAAGAGCUCAAGGUUAAGGAUGAAGAAAAAAUUAUCCAAAGAUAUGUGCGCACAUAUAGUAAUAUCACAACAAAGAUCCUGCUUCAUAAGGAUUCUGGUUCAAGUGAGAACCGCUGUUUUACAGCUUCAAGUGAGCACCAUCAUGAAACUUGUUGGAUGCUACUUUAUUCCUUGUGUCCAGCUUUUGCUGUUAUCUCAUCACUUCUCUCUUCUCUUUUGAUUUAUUACUGUCAGAAGACAGCUAAGACACCUCAGGAUGAUGAGAAAAGAUACAGCAAAAGAGUACAGAAAAGAUGGAAUGAGGAUGAAGAACUGUGUUAUGCUGCACUGGAAUUCCGCCAGUCGUCACAGAGACCAAAGAAGACGAUACCCCAGAGCUCAGAUUUCAGCACUUACUCUGCCAUUAAUACUGACAGCAUGCAAUGAACCCAUCAGUGCAACAGGCUGUAUAAUGAAUUCUAUACUCUUAUACUUAUAUUUUAUACUUUUGGUGUUUGUGCUUAUUAAUUCAUGUUUUGUUCACAACAGUGUUAUCACAACGGUAUUUAUUACAUCCCACAGAAUUGCUUAGAUCUGUGAAAGUAAAAAUAUAUUUACUUUGUUUGCCAAGAGGAUCAUGCUAUAGUCUUUAAGUUAGAUAUGUGAAACAGUUUCGCUUUACUUUUUAUGCAAGC